AAUUUUGAAAGCCAAUAAAACAAAAAAAAAAAGCCAAAAGCGUCAUCUUCCUCAAACACUACCGAUAGAACAGUACUCCACCACCCGCCUGAAAUUUGCGCCAAAAUUCAGUCGCCGGAAACCGUCGAGUUACCUUGCCGACCAAUUCGUCUGCUAGUGGAGUCGGGUUUGUCGUCCAAUUAUGUCUUCGCCGGUCUCUUAAUUUCAUCUGCCAGUGGAGUCUUGUUCGAUUACCACCACCACGCCCCAGCGACGCCACCACGCCAUAGCAACGUAAUUCGUCCGCUAGUAUCCAGUGUUGGCAAUAGUUGGCAUUUGGACGUAUAUGCAUUGGUUGGCAGCCUGAUGCAACUCAGUAAACAACAUGCUGUUAGUUGUGCUCUAUUGACCUGUAUUUUGUAUACUCGGCUUAGAAUGAUGGUGCAGCUGUAAAAUCUAAAUUGAUAUUAGCAGGUAGAUGUGCUUGGAUCUACAUAUAAACUUUUUUAACACUGUUUUGUCUGACGAGUUCCCUGGUUAGAUAAUUGUAGAAACAAACGGUCGAGAUGGCGACAAGUUUCAGCUUGCGUCCUCUGGGAUCCAGCCAUCCAGGUAUCCAGAUCCCACUAGUUCUAUAAGAUGCUUGUGUUAUUUCUGAUGUCAUUCGUCCCUUCAACUCUUUGGAUUGAAUACUUCAGUUCCUGUUGCACAUUUAACCUUGAAGGUGAUGAUACUAUGUCAUUCCAUAUAGAGCCCUCUUGGCAUGCUGGGUUUGGUCUCUUGUAUGAUCGCUCAAAAUAUCAAUGUACUAAUUGUUUACUGCUUUUGGUAUUCUCCUUCAUUAAAAAAUCUAUGAAUUAGUGUCCUCGUCAACACCAAGAAUCUCAUGACUGUGGACAUAAUGUGUGCAGAUAUAUGCUCGAGACUGUAGAGAAAAGGCGACAAGCAAUUCCUUAUAAGUACUUUGGCGAAGUUACAACUGAAUUUUCUCAAAAUAAGCUUGAUGAGCUCUGAGACUUGUGGAUCAAAUAUGUGGAUGAAUAUAAACAAGUGGAUGAAGAAGAAUUGGAAGACAAUGACCAUUUUAAUUAGGGUGUGUGUAUUUUCCUUUUGCGCGUGAUUAGGGAGGUGCUUCUAUUUUGUGCACAUGAAUUGGAAGAAACAACAGGCCUAGGUGUUCUAUUAUUUUUUUAUAACUUAGUUGAAUUUUUGGAAUCUUUUAAACAUUAUAUGUGAUUUUGUAGUGAAUGAUAUUAAAUGAAUGAAAAAGUAUUCCAAUUUUAAAGUCA
Molecule: long non-coding RNA, 1268 nt
Organism: Beta vulgaris subsp. vulgaris (sugar beet)
Lineage: Eukaryota; Viridiplantae; Streptophyta; Magnoliopsida; Caryophyllales; Amaranthaceae
Exons: 3
Source: RefSeq, a predicted model, not a curated record